RNAcentral lists this ribosomal RNA (309 nucleotides) under Triticum aestivum (bread wheat). RNAcentral describes it as "partial small subunit ribosomal RNA". Lineage: Eukaryota; Viridiplantae; Streptophyta; Magnoliopsida; Poales; Poaceae. The record is from RNAcentral.
AUGGCUCGUCUCAACAGCAAGGCUGUGGUGGCCGCCGUGGUCCUGGCGGCGGUGGUGCUGAUGAUGGCCGGCAGGGAGGCCUCGGCGGCGCUGUCGUGCGGGCAGGUGGACUCCAAGCUCGCGCCGUGCGUGGCGUACGUGACGGGGAGGGCGUCCUCGAUCAGCAAGAUAGCGUGCAGGUGCCUCAAGAGCCUCGCCACCAGCAUCAAGUCCAUCAACAUGGGCAAGGUCUCCGGCGUGCCCGGCAAGUGCGGCGUCAGUGUGCCCUUCCCCAUCAGCAUGUCCACCAACUGCGACACUGUCAACUAG